Molecule: ribosomal RNA, 1491 nt
Filed under: Triticum aestivum (bread wheat)
Lineage: Eukaryota; Viridiplantae; Streptophyta; Magnoliopsida; Poales; Poaceae
Description: partial small subunit ribosomal RNA
Source: RNAcentral
AUGUUCAUUCACAUAUGUCUGGUUUACCCACACAAGGGCACAAUGAUGAAUUUUACGGAGCAUCCUCCUGUAAAGAAAGGCUCUGUUCUCUUAACAAGGAUGGAAAGUAUAACGGCAUACAAAAACCAACGUGGACAACCCAAAUCUGCAACUCCAGAACAAUCUGACAUUCCAGUGUCUGCUAAUGACAUGUGUUCCCUUGCUGAAUGGCCAUCCCAUGCUCGCCGCAACCGUGCGCGACUACAGGAUGAAGCUGGUGGACAGAAGAAGAAAGGGAGAGGUGUUCUAAAAGGUUUUAAAGCAUCUAAGAAGCGUUUUGCCAAUGGAUCUGCAAAGCUAAAUAUUACAUUCUCUGAAAAAUUGGGUGGUACAGUAGGAAUGAACUAUCGUUCGUUCAAGGAUGACGUGGUUGUCAUAAUCAAAAGAAAGUUACCACUCAUUGGAGUGAGGACGUGGUCGGACAUUCACCCUACCAUUCAUCGACUCAUUGUUGCAGAUAUAAUAGACAGAUGGGACCUGGAAGAUACACCAGAAACAGAAGAAAAAGUUCUCAAAAUUGCGAAAGAGAGAUAUAGAGGCUGGCGAUCAACUCUAAGCUCCACUUACAAGGCAUACAAAACAGAUGCAGCUAGAUUGGCUAAUCUUCCUGAAGAUUUACAACCAGAAGAGUGGGAAUGGAUGAUUGAGUACUUUGGCACUGAUUCAAAAUUUCAGGAACGCAGCCAAAAGAACGCCGAUAACCGUAAGAAACAGAAGACAAAACAUAUAAUCGGAUCAAAAUCUUACUCGCAAGUUAGUUUUGAGAAGAGAAACUUAGAAACUGGAGAAGAGCCAGAUUGUAUUGCUCUAUGGGAACUCACCCACACAAACAAUGGAACAUGGUCUAACACAGAUUCCCAGAAAGUUUACGACCAAGCACUUGAAGAGGUUAAAAACAAAGAAGCUGAAACUGAAGGUCCACUUUCAAGUGAGCAGAAAAACAAUGUUUUCCAGACCGCUUACAAAGACACUCUGGAAUGCAACUCAUCGCAGCCUCGUGGGUACGGAUACAUGGCCAAAACUUCAACUGGUUCUGAAAAGUUCCGUAUCCAGAUUGAAGAGCAAGCUCGUGCUACAGCAGCCACCCAGGAGCGAAACUCUCAGCUCAGCCAGCAGGUCAAUGACUUAGAAGAUCAACUACAAGCUGAACGUGCUAACACACAAGAGAGGAUUAACUUGGAGCGUGCUGAGAGAGAACAACUUGAGGAGAGGUUAAAAGAAGAGCGUGCUGAAAGGGAAAGAUUGUUGCAAGAGGAGCGAACAUCAAGACUGGAAUUUGAAAAAAACAUGAUGGCAAAGUUUGUAGAAUUGAGCAAACAGAUAGAAACCCAACAGACAUCUAGUCCUAAUAAGACUCCAGGUUCAAGGCCGACUGCUAUUUCUUCAAAUGCGCUCAUACAAGCUGCAGCAAGGCAAUCUCGGAUGUAUAAAGCAAUGGAUCCAAAGAACUAG